This 590-nucleotide unclassified non-coding RNA is filed under the name Hevea brasiliensis (rubber tree). Lineage: Eukaryota; Viridiplantae; Streptophyta; Magnoliopsida; Malpighiales; Euphorbiaceae. The record is from RNAcentral.
UAGUUGAGUUGAGUUGAGUUAUAUUAAUUUGUUCAUAUGCAAUUAUAAGUUCAUUAGUUUUAAUGAAGUGAGUUAUACUUUAUAUUAUAACCAUAUGAUAAACAUAGAUGUGUCAAUUUCUAUUGUUAAAACUUUUUCUUUUUUAAAUUCAAGCUUUUAUUAGUUUGAAAAUUUUAUGUAUUUAAAACUUCAUUAAUAUAAUAAUCUUAGUUGUGAUUUCAUAUAUUUAACAUUUCCAUUCAUUUACAAAUUAGUAUAGGAGAGAGAGAGAGAGAGAUUAAAAGGUGAGAAAGAGAGAUUGAAAGGGUUCAAGAUUCAAAUGCUGUUACCUCCAAGGCUAUGUAGUUUUGAUUUAUUUACUUAUUAUGGAUAAAAUGGUUAUAAUUAAUUUUUAUGUAGAAUCUAAUUUAGUUAUUACCUAUUAUUUUAUACAUCUAAUAUACUAAUUCAUUAAUUUGUUCCUAAAUAAUUAUAAGUUUGUUAGUUUUAGUAGAAUGAAAUAACCUUUUUAGUUUUAUUUUAUAUUAUAAUCAUACAAUAAGCAUAAAUACAUGUUAUGUGUCACUUUAUGGUUAAAUGUUUUACAUUCA